RNAcentral lists this ribosomal RNA (369 nucleotides) under uncultured bacterium. RNAcentral's name for it is "bacterial SSU rRNA". It matches the Rfam family "Bacterial small subunit ribosomal RNA", at positions 527 to 896 of the family's 1533-position model. The record is from RNAcentral.
GUAGGGUGCAAGCGUUAAUCGGAAUUACUGGGCGUAAAGCGUGCGCAGGCGGUUAUGCAAGACAGAGGUGAAAUCCCCGGGCUCAACCUGGGAACUGCCUUUGUGACUGCAUGGCUAGAGUACGGUAGAGGGGGAUGGAAUUCCGCGUGUAGCAGUGAAAUGCGUAGAUAUGCGGAGGAACACCGAUGGCGAAGGCAAUACCCUGGACCUGUACUGACGCUCAUGCACGAAAGCGUGGGGAGCAAACAGGAUUAGAUACCCUGGUAGUCCACGCCCUAAACGAUGUCAACUGGUUGUUGGGAGGGUUUCUUCUCAGUAACGUAGCUAACGCGUGAAGUUGACCGCCUGGGGAGUACGGCCGCAAGGUUG